AGGAGUGAGGAGGUGUGAGGAGGAGUGAGGAGGUGUGAGGAGUGAGGAGGUGUGAGGAGGCUUUGGCACAGACGUUUGCGUCUCCUCACACUUCUGCUUUGCUGACCGCUGAUUAGACGGCGUCUGUCUGCAGCAGAUAAGACGCUCGUCUCUGAGACAGAGAGCGGCUUUCUGUGAGACCAAAGGUGCGUUUCCUCAAACUCCAGAGGAAGAACUCGUUUACAUCUCCGUGACAACACAAACAUGUUUACCAAAGUUUGGAUAAAUAAACUUUAUCUGCUACAAUAAAAGAGAGUGAGAUGAUAAAGGUAUCUUACUAUCUGAUCAUUAAGGAAACAUGUUGAAGUGCUGGCUUCUCUGACAACAAUGCAGCAGCCAGUAUGUCCUCCUUCUAACUUUAGAUUCUGCUCCUGAAUGCUCUGGAUUUGUUUGGACCAGAGAAGGUAGACGCUUUUAAG
This is a long non-coding RNA of Labrus mixtus (cuckoo wrasse), 458 nucleotides long. RefSeq lists it as uncharacterized. Lineage: Eukaryota; Metazoa; Chordata; Actinopteri; Labriformes; Labridae. The transcript is spliced from 3 exons. The record is from RefSeq and is a predicted model, not a curated record.